Molecule: ribosomal RNA, 704 nt
Filed under: uncultured Propionivibrio sp.
Lineage: Bacteria; Pseudomonadati; Pseudomonadota; Betaproteobacteria; Rhodocyclales; Rhodocyclaceae
Description: bacterial SSU rRNA
Rfam family: Bacterial small subunit ribosomal RNA
Source: RNAcentral
UGAUCCAGCCAUGCCGCGUGAGUGAAGAAGGCCUUCGGGUUGUAAAGCUCUUUCGGCGGGGAAGAAAUCGCAUCUCCUAAUACGGGGUGUGGAUGACGGUACCGGAAUAAGAAGCACCGGCUAACUACGUGCCAGCAGCCGCGGUAAUACGUAGGGUGCGAGCGUUAAUCGGAAUUACUGGGCGUAAAGCGUGCGCAGGCGGUUAUGUAAGACAGAUGUGAAAUCCCCGGGCUCAACCUGGGAACUGCAUUUGUGACUGCAAGGCUAGAGUAUGGCAGAGGGGGGUGGAAUUCCACGUGUAGCAGUGAAAUGCGUAGAGAUGUGGAGGAACACCGAUGGCGAAGGCAGCCCCCUGGGCCAAUACUGACGCUCAUGCACGAAAGCGUGGGGAGCAAACAGGAUUAGAUACCCUGGUAGUCCACGCCCUAAACGAUGUCAACUAGGUGUUGGUGGGGUUAAACNCCAUUAGNUACCGUAGCUNACGCUGUAGAAGUNGACCGCCUGGGAGANGUACGCGCCGCANGGGGUUAACUCAAAGGAAUUGACGGGGACCCGCACAAGCGGUGGAUGAUGUGGAUUAAUUCGAUGCAACGCGAAAAACCUUACCUACCCUUGACAUGUCAGGAAAUCCGAAGAGAUUUGGAAGUGCUUCGAAAGGGAGCCUGAACACAGUGCUGCCUGGCUGUCGUCAGCUCGUGUCGUGA